AAGCAUUCUCCCAACUUCAGGGAAUGUAGACAGCAGCACAGGGCCUAGUUCAUAAUAGAUGUUCAACAAGGGUGUAUUAAAUUGGAUCUACAUUUUCAAAUAUUUAGUUUCGAGUGAAAAUAACUAAAUCAUAUGUGAAUUAACUCUGUUUACGCUGAAUUCUGAAAACACAACUUCAGACACAUUCAGCUUGAAAAUUCUCUACUGAGAGUACUAUUUGCCUCCUCUACAUACUAGAGGCAAAAUCCACAGAUACAUUCAAGUUCUUUUACAUCUCCUGAUGAAAAGGCUUGAGACAACUUUCUGACUUCAAGGGUGUGGAAAAUUCUACUUUUCUCAGGAACCAUGUAGGCUACAGAUAUCUCUGUUCCCAAGAAACAACACAUAAAACAGUAACAAAUCAGAAGAGAGUGGAUAGAGACUGAAGUGGACCUUCCUGGCUGCCAACUCAUUUUAAGUCCAGUUUUCCGCGUUCCCAGGAUCUCUUGCACCUGAGGCACAACCAUGUGGCCUAAAUUUUGCCAAACGCACCAUAUGGAGUUGGGUUUGCAAUUUAGCAAUGCAAGACAGAGGCUGCACUCUGGGGAACGGAUCUUCUGACAGAGUUUCUGAGCACCGGUGAGGGGAGGCCAUUCCUGCCCCGAGUCCAGCCCGAGCCUCCUCUCCACGACGGGAGAUGUUCCUUCAACCUGAGCACCGAAGCACGUGCAAAACAUCAGAAACUUAAGGUCAACUUAUUUCUAAACAAAAGAGUUUUAUCAGCUCCUGAUAACAUCCUCUCUCUUGUGCAUCCAUCCACAUCAAUGCAGCAGGCACUGCAUUUAAAAAUCACCACGGGAGCUAGAAGUUCUUCACAACAGAAUAUUCACUUUGGAGAAAAGAGAAAAGAAGUCAAAGAGAAAAACAGAGCUUUCAAUCACAGCAAGGAUGGACUUCGAGUAUCCUUGGAGUUGAGUUUCCCAAAGCACCAGCAUUGGUUUGAUGGAAAGAGCCUGUCCCGAGAAUCAGAAGGCUCGGUGGCUCUGCUGCUUUCUACAGGGGGAGCUUAUGCAAGUUACUGAAUGCUCGCAGUCUCACUUUCCCUAUCUCUAAUAACAAUACCUAUAUCAAUGAGCAAAUGAAAUCUUUUUUGUGAAAGUACCUUAUAAAGCACUAUUGAGAUAUUAGUUAUUUAAAGUGAGACAACCACACUUCUCUCCUUCCUGUAAACAUUAGAGAAUACAAAUCUGUACAUUAUUGUUAUGUUGCAUUUUAAGCCCUAAUUUAAAUUUGACAAAGUAAAUAAAGCAUAGAAUUCUAGAAUCUUAGAAUAUUAAACUGGAAGACGUCUUAAAGAUCAUUGAGGUUCAACUCCCUCAUUUUAAAGAACUUUUUAAAAAUGAUUAUCAGGAAAGUUAAUUGACACUGAUCUUAGUGCAGUAAUUAUUUAAAAUCGGGCUAAAAAUUGGCUCAUUAUAAAACCAUAUUAA
Molecule: long non-coding RNA, 1469 nt
Organism: Diceros bicornis minor
Lineage: Eukaryota; Metazoa; Chordata; Mammalia; Perissodactyla; Rhinocerotidae
Exons: 3
Source: RefSeq, a predicted model, not a curated record